CGAUCUUCUCGGAUAAUCAGCGAUCCUUUGAGAUAAUCAACGAUCUUCUCGGAUAAUCAGCGAUCCUUUGAGAUAAUCAACGAUCUUCUCGGAUAAUCAGCGAUUCUUUGAGAUAAUCAACGAUCUUCUCGGAUAAUCAACGAUUUGUUAAGAAAAUAAGCGAUCAUCUAAGGAAAUCAUUUUAAGAUCAAGUAUCUUAAGAAAAAUUUAAACUUUUAAAGAAACAAAGAUCUUAAAUUCAUAAAUAGUUUCCCACAUUCCUUUAUACACUGAUCAUUGAUCAGUGAUCAGUGAUCAAACAAUUAAAUAUAUAUUAUACAAAACUUGUUUAAAAAAUCUAGCAGGUUUUGUGUUAUCAGCUAUUCGGUUGUAACUCCCCUGUCAUCGAUAAUGAUGAUAAUGAAUUAUUAUUAAUAAUAUUGUUAUUGCUAAACUUCAAGAAACUAUAAGCGUAAUUUUAAGGAACCCUUCAUGCAAAAAUACUAAUGCUCGAUUCACAACGGUGUCCUUAAACCUUGUCAAAUCAGGGUUCCAAGAGUACCGUUGUGAAUCCGGCAUUGAUAUUUUGCUUAGUGCGUCUCUUUAAAGAAAUGUUUCCUACUAACAAAUAAAUGUGAUACUUAUAUUUUUAUUUUUUGACGACAAUUUUAUUUUUUUUAAUGUAACAGCUUGAACCUUGAUUUAUUUAUUGCAUUUUAAAUUUAUCUUUAAUGUUUAUCAAUAAUAUGUGUGCAAUUUUACAUCAUGUAAAUUUAGAUUUUAUCCCUAAAAUGUUACAUUAACUAUAUGUUCAAAUGAAAUGAUGAAAUAUAUGUUUAGUUGAUAAAUGAA
Long non-coding RNA from Eurytemora carolleeae, 831 nucleotides. RefSeq lists it as uncharacterized. NCBI's taxonomy places the organism in Eukaryota, Metazoa, Arthropoda, Copepoda, Calanoida, Temoridae. The record is from RefSeq and is a predicted model, not a curated record. The transcript has 2 exons.